Molecule: ribosomal RNA, 491 nt
Filed under: uncultured bacterium
Lineage: Bacteria
Description: partial 16S ribosomal RNA
Rfam family: Bacterial small subunit ribosomal RNA
Source: RNAcentral
AUUGAACGCUGGCGGCAGGCCUAACACAUGCAAGUCGAACGGUAACAGGAAGCAGCUUGCUGCUUUGCUGACGAGUGGCGGACGGGUGAGUAAUGUCUGGGAAACUGCCCGAUGGAGGGGGAUAACUACUGGAAACGGUAGCUAUUACCGCAUAACGUCGCAAGACCAAAGAGGGGGACCUUAGGGCCUCUUGCCAUCGGAUGUGCCCAGAUGGGAUUAGCUAGUAGGUGGGGUCACGGCUCACCUAGGCGACGAUCCCUAGCUGGUCUGAGAGGAUGACCAGCCACACUGGGACUGGGACACGGUCCAGACUCCUACGGGAGGCAGCAGUGGGGAAUAUUGCACAAUGGGCGCAAGCCUGAUGCAGCCAUGCCGCGUGUAUGAAGAAGGCCUUCGGGUUGUAAAGUACUUUCAGCGGGGAGGAAGGGAGUAAAGUUAAUACCUUUGCUCAUUGACGUUACCCGCAGAAGAAGCACCGGCUAACUCCGUGC